GAGGUUGAGGAUUUUAACCUACCAGGGAAAGGGUCAUCAAGCUUGACCUCAGCCUCAAAGAAUGAUAAAAAUGGCAAUUAUAACACCUUAUGUCCUUGGAAAGUUUACACGUGCCAGGCACCAUGCUAAGUUCUUCCUACACAUUAAUAUUUUACAGAUGUGUAAGUGAGAGUUAGAAAUGCCAGGUGACUCUUCCAAGGACACACAGGUAAUAGUGGCAGAAUUACAUCUUGGGGGCACAGAGAAGGCAUGAAGUCAAUAUCUGUGGAAUUAAAAUGAGUUGAUCCCAGGCCUGGCUGACUCUGGUAUGCUUUAAUCUCCUGCUAUCUGAAGGCAGGUGGGGUAGAGGUAAGGGGUAGGAAGGAUAACUCUGGCACGUGUGUGACAGCAGGGAGAUGCCAGCAGGCAGAGUUCAGGGGACUGCAGAAGGACUGGAACACAAGAGAGGAUGAGAAAUGAGGUAGGGAAUGUGGGCAGAGCCCAAGAGUGAUGGUGAAUUUCAUGUGUCACCUUGCCUGGGCCAUAGGACACCCAGGGAACUGAUUAAACACUUUCAGGGUAUGACUGUGAGAGUAUGUCCAGGGGAGAUUAGCACCAGAAUCAGUGGCCUGAGAAAAGCAGAUCACCCUCCUCAGCAUGAGUGGGCACUGUCCAGUCUGUUGAAGGCCUGAACAGAAACAAAAGGUGGAGGAAGGAAGGACUCACUCUCUCAGCCUGACUGUCAGCUGGGACUUGGACCUCCUGCAUGUAGCUCUUCUGGCUUUCUGCCUCUCUCUCAGGCCUUCAGACACCACCAGCCUUCCUGGGUCUCUGGUUUGCAAAUGGCAGAUCAUGGGGCUUCUCAGCCUCCAUAAUCAUAGAGAGAGAGAGCGUGUGAGCAGGGAAGGAGCAGAGAGAGAGAGACGCACACAGAAUGCGAAGAAAGCUCCAGGCUCUGAGCUGUCAGCACAAAGCCUGAUGCGGGGCUCACACUCACAAACUUUAAGAUCAUACCUGAGCUGAAGCGGGAUGCUCAACCCACUGAAGCCACCCAGGCACCCCUACAUGCUGCCUGGUUUUAUAUGGCCUGUGAACGAAGAAUUGUUUUUACAUUUUCAGAUGGCUAGAAGAUUCAAAAGAAUAAUAAUAUUUGUGACAUGUGAAAAUUAUAUGAAAUUCAAAUUUCUGUCUCCAUAAAGUUUUAUUAGAACACA
Molecule: long non-coding RNA, 1193 nt
Organism: Neofelis nebulosa (Clouded leopard)
Lineage: Eukaryota; Metazoa; Chordata; Mammalia; Carnivora; Felidae
Exons: 2
Source: RefSeq, a predicted model, not a curated record